UCUAUCAAAGGAGAAUAGUUACCCCGCUGGUCUUAGGCACCACAACUC
Molecule: transfer RNA, 48 nt
Filed under: Crotalus scutulatus (Mojave rattlesnake)
Lineage: Eukaryota; Metazoa; Chordata; Lepidosauria; Squamata; Viperidae
Also listed under: 2 other names
Description: partial tRNA-Leu
Source: RNAcentral